UUGGAUAAAUUAAUUCUUGAACUUGUUUUAUUGAAUUCUUAUAUCAUUGUCAUCAUCCUCAUGUUUAUAUUUUGUUGAAAGUCAUCUGUGGCCUGUAGUGCAUAGAUGGACUUGGUAUGAUUAUGACCAGGAAUUAUUCGAUAUAAUCAUGACCGUAAUGUUAUAAAUAAUGUGGUAAAAGUUCUCAUUGGCUCAUAGUGCAUUGAUGGACAGUUGUUGGCAUGAUCAUGACCAUUGAUGAAUACACGAAUAUCCUUGGCCCGUAGUGCAUGGAGAAUUUGUGGUCGUGAUACUAAUGAAUAUCCUUAGCUGUAGUGCAAGUGUGACAACUCGAAAAUUUGGAAUAUUUUUAAAAUUUUUACUAAUUGAUAUAUGGUUCAAAAUUAGAACCUAGACAGAAAAUAAGUGUAUGCGUUUGAUAUUUUUGAGAAGGAAUUUUGAGGAUUUCAAAAUUCUGUGAAGGAGUUAGGUGAAUUAUUCAUGAUUAAGUGUAUAUGUAAAUAUGUUCUGUGUAUAUGGUAUUAUAUGUGUACAGUAUGUGGUUAAGGGUCAAGGGUUGACCAGACAAUGACAAACUUAAAUAUUAUACUAAGAACGUAAACGUUCAGUUAGAAAAUUCUUAUAAUUUAUAUGAAACCUUAAUUUGGGAACUCUAAUGCUAAGUAUAAAACCCUAAGGAUAAAAAGUUAUGUGAGUAAUGAGUAUGAAUAUUAUGUGAUGAUUUGUACUUGUUUAUUAUACAAACAAAUAAAAGAAACUAGAGUGAUCCUAAUUAUAUAUUAGGAAUGAAAAAUAUUUUUAACUUAGGGGUUAUGGGAUGAGAGAAUUAUGGUAUGUAGAAUAUAUACUAAUUCUAAGAGAUUUAUUUUAUACUUCUCAACUAAUUAAUUUCAUAACCUAAUUAUAGCAAGUCUAAUUGGGUUAAUAAUUUAAAUGUGCAUGAGUAAGGAUUUAUGUUUUAAUUGUGGAAUUGAAAACUCUAAUUAAAUAAUUAGGGAAUGGUAAUGUUAGAAGUGUUGGAAGAUGUUAUGUGUUUGGCCCAAAGAAACUAAAGUUAGUAGCCCAAAAGAAUUAAUUGAGUGGCCCAACUUUUAGCCCAUUUGAGAGGAGAUAUUAUGGACAUUUAAUAUGCUAAAUAAGAAUUAAAAAGGAAAUCAAUUUUUAAGGAUAAUAAGGCCACAUGGCCAACCAAGAUAAGGAGAGGAAGGGGGGAAGAAUGUAAUGAUUAUUUCACUUUAGUUGGUGAACAAACCUCCUAUGUGUCAUUGCCCCAUUUAGCCAACACUUUGUCAAUGCUUCCAAGUAAAGCUUUAGUGGUUGAGUGGGAGAGAGAAGAACUAGAGAUGUUGGUAGAUGAAUGAUAGAUAUACCAAAUAUAUCUAUACAUACUUUUCCAACAAAAUAAGAAAAAGUUUAAGUCUUAUCUUUUUCUUUUCAUCUUAUUAUCUAACAUAAACUAAGAAAGAAAGAGAGACUAAAGGGAGAGAGAGAUAGCUAUCAUACGGUAGCUCCAAGAGGAGAAGGAGAAGAGAAGAUUUUGAUCUUCAUACACCCAAGAUCCAUCUCAUAUUUUUGAAGGAGAAAGAAAUUCAAGCAAAGGUAUAAACCCCUUUUGUUUAUGUAAUUUUUGAUUAUUGUAAAUCAAACCUUGAAUCUAUGUUUCUAAACUCAAAAACUAUGGGUAUCCAUGUUGAGGAGUGUUGUAUGUUUAGAUCUACCCAUAUUGGGUGUUGAUUUGGUUGGAAUCAAAAGGAAUAGAAAAAUAGAAUUUUCCGGAAAGCUUAACCUUGAAAGUGUGAUCUAGCUUUUGAUUUUUGAAAUCUAUGAUGGAUAUUUGUGAUUUAUUUUCUUGGGAUGCUAGAUCUAUGUAUUAAGGAUAAAACCCCUUUGGAAUCACUCAAUUAGGUUGAAAAAUGAGCUCAUUCCGACUUAAAAUGACUAAGUUAUGACCAUUUCAAUAUUUAGGUUUUUCGGACGAAAAUCGCUAUAACCGGAGUUCUAUAACUCCGAUUGCCACAGAAUUUAAACUGGAGCAUCAUGUUAACACAUAUAAGAUUGUGUCAAGAGAUGGGAAAUUCUGGAGUUAAGCAUGAGGUAGCUAAUUUCUUAAGGAAUUUACUAAAACCAAUUUUUGAAAAAUACCAAAGGAAGUUGGAAAAUUUUGGGAAAAUACUUUUUGUGUAUGAAAUAUAUGUAUAUGUGUUUGGGCAAAGGAUGGAAAAAUAAUAAGUUGAUUUGGUAUUUUUGUGAAAAGGAUAUGGAAUCCAGCUUGCUGGAUUGAACAAUCUGAUGAAUCCAGUUUGAUGAAUUAUUUCGACUGUUAAUAAAUUAUCUUAGAUAAUGGUUAAGCAUUUAAACAGAGUUUAAUUGAACUUAAACUCGUGAAUUCUCCGACUAGACCGUCGUGGCAUUAGAAUUUGUGUCGGUUUCAAGUCAAACUAAAAUAGUUUGACCUUAUACUAAGUUUUAUGUGUG
This 2475-nucleotide long non-coding RNA is filed under the name Panax ginseng (ginseng). RNAcentral describes it as "long non-coding RNA (PGIN_LNC003461)". The record is from RNAcentral. Lineage: Eukaryota; Viridiplantae; Streptophyta; Magnoliopsida; Apiales; Araliaceae.